AUGCAAGACCAAUGUUGGACGGCCGAUCGCCUAGCCAGUCAUGGCCUCCCCCAUGAGCCUAAGUGCGCCUUAUGCAACCAAGUGGACGACACGUUGCAACACUUGCUGGUGGGCUGCUCUUUCUCGCGACAAGUUUGGCAUGAGAUCCUAGGAUGGGUUCGCUCCACGGCCAACCUACCCAUUGACGACAUAGAUUUCCAAUCCUGGUGGGCUGCUACCUGUGAACGUGCAGUUGCGCCCGCUCGCAAGGGGUUGGCCUCUCUCAUCACCCUCACCACUUGGUGGCUCUGGAAGCAUCGGAACGGCUGCAUCUUCGGCGGUGAUCAACCUUUGGUCACUCGGCUCUCCUCCAUCAUCAAAGACGAGGCGCACCUUUGGGUGAAAGCCGGCGCCACUAGCUCCAUUGGUCUCGGGGAUGAGCAACCCCAUCUGUUUGCUCUGCACUCUUUACCAUGCCUUCAUGUGUACAUGGGUUAG
RNAcentral lists this ribosomal RNA (477 nucleotides) under Triticum aestivum (bread wheat). Its description in RNAcentral is "partial small subunit ribosomal RNA". Lineage: Eukaryota; Viridiplantae; Streptophyta; Magnoliopsida; Poales; Poaceae. The record is from RNAcentral.